CGCAUGGCGGCGAGCCCGGUGCGCGCCUCGGCGAUCACGGCGUCGAGCGCGUCGAUCCGCGCCGCGCCGUCCGGGUCGGGGCCGUCCGC
RNAcentral lists this transfer RNA (89 nucleotides) under Virgisporangium aliadipatigenens. Its description in RNAcentral is "tRNA-Val". The record is from RNAcentral. Lineage: Bacteria; Bacillati; Actinomycetota; Actinomycetes; Micromonosporales; Micromonosporaceae.